RNAcentral lists this ribosomal RNA (427 nucleotides) under uncultured bacterium. RNAcentral describes it as "bacterial SSU rRNA". It matches the Rfam family "Bacterial small subunit ribosomal RNA", at positions 917 to 1344 of the family's 1533-position model. The record is from RNAcentral.
GGGCCCGCACAAGCGGUGGAGUAUGUGGUUUAAUUCGAUGCAACGCGAAGAACCUUACCAGGGUUUGACAUCCUGCGAAUCUCUUGGAAACAGGAGAGUGCCUUCGGGAACGCAGUGACAGGUGGUGCAUGGCUGUCGUCAGCUCGUGUCGUGAGAUGUUGGGUUAAGUCCCGCAACGAGCGCAACCCUUACCCUUAUUUGCCAGCGGUUAGGCCGGGAACUAUAAGGGAACUGCCGGUAAUAAGCCGGAGGAAGGUGGGGACGACGUCAAGUCAUCAUGGCCCUUACGUGUAGGGCUACACACGUGCUACAAUGGGAGAUACAGACGGUUGCUAAAGCGCGAGCUGGAGCCAAUCCGACAAAGUCUCUCGUAGUCCGAAUUGCAGUCUGGAACUCGACUGCAUGAAGCCGGAAUCGCUAGUAAUCG